AGCAGCCGCGGUAAUUCCAGCUCCAAUAGCGUAUAUUAAAGUUGUUGCAGUUAAAAAGCUCGUAGUUGAAUUUCGGGAUUAAUUUAUUGGUCGUGCUAUUGUACGUACUGGUAUUAUUGAUUCCUACCUUCUGACGAACCACGAUGUCAUUAAUUUGGUGUCAUGGGGAAUCAGGACUGUUACUUUGAAAAAAUUAGAGUGUUUAAAGCAGGCUCACGCUUGAAUACAUUAGCAUGGAAUAACGAAAUAGGACGUUUGAUUCUAUUUUGUUGGUUUCUAGGAUCGACGUAAUGAUUAAUAGGGAUAGUUGGGGGCAUUAGUAUUCAAUUGUCAGAGGUGAAAUUCUUGGAUUUAUUGAAGACUAACUACUGCGAAAGCAUUUGCCAAGGAUGUUUUCAUUAAUCAAGAACGAAAGUUAGGGGAUCGAAGACGAUCAGAUACCGUCGUAGU
RNAcentral lists this ribosomal RNA (450 nucleotides) under uncultured Glomeromycotina. RNAcentral's name for it is "SSU rRNA". It matches the Rfam family "Eukaryotic small subunit ribosomal RNA", at positions 569 to 1024 of the family's 1831-position model. Lineage: Eukaryota; Fungi; Glomeromycota. The record is from RNAcentral.